RNAcentral lists this ribosomal RNA (228 nucleotides) under uncultured bacterium. RNAcentral's name for it is "partial 16S ribosomal RNA". It matches the Rfam family "Bacterial small subunit ribosomal RNA", at positions 103 to 334 of the family's 1533-position model. The record is from RNAcentral.
CGGGUGAGUAAUACAUCGGAACGUGCCCAGUAGUGGGGGAUAACCCGGCGAAAGCCGGACUAAUACCGCAUACGACCUAUGGGUGAAAGCAGGGGAUCGCAAGACCUUGCGCUAUUGGAGCGGCCGAUGUCAGAUUAGCUUGUUGGCGGGGUAAAAGCCCACCAAGGCGACGAUCUGUAGCUGGUCUGAGGGGACGACCAGCCACACUGGGACUGAGACACGGCCCAG